Molecule: ribosomal RNA, 230 nt
Filed under: uncultured microorganism
Description: partial 16S ribosomal RNA
Rfam family: Bacterial small subunit ribosomal RNA
Source: RNAcentral
UACGUAGGGUGCAAGCGUUGUCCGGAAUUAUUGGGCGUAAAGAGCUCGUAGGUGGUUUGUCGCGUCUGCUGUGAAAACCUCCCGCUCAACGGGGGGCCUGCAGUGGGUACGGGCAGACUAGAGUGCAGUAGAGGAGUCUGGAAUUCCUGGUGUAGCGGUGGAAUGCGCAGAUAUCAGGAGGAACACCGGUGGCGAAGGCGGGACUCUGGGCUGUUACUGACGCUGAGGAG